AGUGAACGCUGGCGGUAGGCCUAACACAUGCAAGUCGAACGGCAGCACAGUAAGAGCUUGCUCUUACGGGUGGCGAGUGGCGGACGGGUGAGGAAUACAUCGGAAUCUACUUUUUCGUGGGGGAUAACGUAGGGAAACUUACGCUAAUACCGCAUACGACCUACGGGUGAAAGCAGGGGAUCUUCGGACCUUGCGCGAUUGAAUGAGCCGAUGUCGGAUUAGCUAGUUGGCGGGGUAAAGGCCCACCAAGGCGACGAUCCGUAGCUGGUCUGAGAGGAUGAUCAGCCACACUGGAACUGAGACACGGUCCAUACUCCUACGGGAGGCAGCAGUGGGGAAUAUUGGACAAUGGGCGCAAGCCUGAUCCAGCCAUACCGCGUGGGUGAAGAAGGCCUUCGGGUUGUAAAGCCCUUUUGUUGGGAAAGAAAAGCAGCAAGUUAAUACCCCGCUGUUCUGACGGUACCCAAAGAAUAAGCACCGGCUAACUUCGUG
Molecule: ribosomal RNA, 492 nt
Filed under: uncultured bacterium
Lineage: Bacteria
Description: partial 16S ribosomal RNA
Rfam family: Bacterial small subunit ribosomal RNA
Source: RNAcentral